AAGACUUGCAGGCCCAAGCCAGGAUC
This 26-nucleotide non-coding RNA is filed under the name Cricetulus griseus (Chinese hamster). Lineage: Eukaryota; Metazoa; Chordata; Mammalia; Rodentia; Cricetidae. The record is from RNAcentral.